AAUCAACGCUGGCGGCGUGCCUAACACAUGCAAGUCGCACGAGAAAGGGACUUCGGUCCUGAGUACAGUGGCGCACGGGUGAGUAACACGUGAAUCAUCUACCUUCGAGUGGGGAAUAACUGAGAGAAAUCUUAGCUAAUACCGCAUAAUACCUACGGGUCAAAGCAGCAAUGCGCUUGAAGAGGAGUUCGCGGCAGAUUAGUUAGUUGGCGGGGUAAU
Molecule: ribosomal RNA, 219 nt
Filed under: uncultured bacterium
Lineage: Bacteria
Description: partial 16S ribosomal RNA
Rfam family: Bacterial small subunit ribosomal RNA
Source: RNAcentral